UCCGUCCGGAGUCCGAAGCCUUGGCCACCACCAGCGGCGCCCUCGCCGCGGACCCCGACUCGAAGCUUCUCCGCUGCAGGCAUCAUCUGCAGUUUGCUCAUCCACACAGACAGGAAGGAUGUCAUAAAUUUCCCCAAACUUUGAGGGUGGCCCUACCGAACCCCAGGAGCGGGUGCUGGCCAGGCCUGUAUUCUGUAUGGGCUGGAAAUAAACCUUCUGUGCGGUA
Myotis lucifugus (little brown bat) is the source of this 226-nucleotide long non-coding RNA. RefSeq lists it as uncharacterized. The transcript is spliced from 2 exons. The record is from RefSeq and is a predicted model, not a curated record. NCBI's taxonomy places the organism in Eukaryota, Metazoa, Chordata, Mammalia, Chiroptera, Vespertilionidae.